RNAcentral lists this ribosomal RNA (492 nucleotides) under uncultured bacterium. Its description in RNAcentral is "partial 16S ribosomal RNA". It matches the Rfam family "Bacterial small subunit ribosomal RNA", at positions 29 to 507 of the family's 1533-position model. The record is from RNAcentral.
AGUGAACGCUGGCGGUAGGCCUAACACAUGCAAGUCGAACGGCAGCACAGUAAGAGCUUGCUCUUACGGGUGGCGAGUGGCGGACGGGUGAGGAAUACAUCGGAAUCUACUUUUUCGUGGGGGAUAACGUAGGGAAACUUACGCUAAUACCGCAUACGACCUACGGGUGAAAGCAGGGGAUCUUCGGACCUUGCGCGAUUGAAUGGGCCGAUGUCGGAUUAGCUAGUUGGCGGGGUAAAGGCCCACCAAGGCGACGAUCCGUAGCUGGUCUGAGAGGAUGAUCAGCCACACUGGAACUGAGACACGGUCCAGACUCCUACGGGAGGCAGCAGUGGGGAAUAUUGGACAAUGGGCGCAAGCCUGAUCCAGCCAUACCGCGUGGGUGAAGAAGGCCUUCGGGUUGUAAAGCCCUUUUGUUGGGAAAGAAAAGCAGCAAGUUAAUACCCCGCUGUUCUGACGGUACCCAAAGAAUAAGCACCGGCUAACUUCGUG